Molecule: ribosomal RNA, 500 nt
Filed under: uncultured bacterium
Lineage: Bacteria
Description: partial 16S ribosomal RNA
Rfam family: Bacterial small subunit ribosomal RNA
Source: RNAcentral
AUUGAACGCUGGCGGAAUGCUUUACACAUGCAAGUCGAACGGCAGCACGGACUUCGGUCUGGUGGCGAGUGGCGAACGGGUGAGUAAUGUAUCGGAACGUGCCCAGUCGUGGGGGAUAACGCAGUGAAGAUUACGCUAAUACCGCAUACGAUCUAUGGAUGAAAGCGGGGGAUCGCAAGACCUCGCGCGAUUGGAGCGGCCGAUAUCAGAUUAGGGAGUUGGUGGGGUAAAGGACCACCAAGCCAACGAUCUGUAGCUGGUCUGAGAGGACAACCAGCCACACUGGAACUGAGACACGGUCCAGACUCCUACGGGAGGCAGCAGUGGGGAAUUUUGGACAAUGGGCGAAAGCCUGAUCCAGCCAUUCCGCGUGCAGGAUGAAGGCCCUCGGGUUGUAAACUGCUUUUGUACAGAACGAAAAGGUUUCUACUAAUACUAGGAGCUCAUGACGGUACUGUAAGAAUAAGCACCGGCUAACUACGUGCCAGCCGCCGCGGUAA